RNAcentral lists this unclassified non-coding RNA (1430 nucleotides) under Hevea brasiliensis (rubber tree). Lineage: Eukaryota; Viridiplantae; Streptophyta; Magnoliopsida; Malpighiales; Euphorbiaceae. The record is from RNAcentral.
GGGUAAAGAAAGAAAACAUUGUGCUUCACACACUAGGGAUUAAUAACAUGGAGGAUUCUGUCUGUUUAAGGCGUAUCUUACAGAAAAGAAACUAGGGCCACCUUCACCAAUGUCCUUGUACAAAGAAGCAGGAAGGUGAUGACAUUCCUAGAUGUAGGGUAGGGUAGGGUACUUUAUAAGCACGCGCCCAAUGGUAAGUUCAAACUGAGAGUAACAGAUAGUGGGUGUCAUUUGGAAUUCACAAGGAUCCAACAACAACAGCCACACAUGUAUCCAAUAUCUCCAACUCUUUUUCCCUCCAUGCCACUACCAUCCAACCAGUCAAUGACAAAUCAGAAAUGCUUUGAUGAGGAGCCCUUUAGUGGGUUCACUUUCCCUCUUUCCUAUGGAAUGAUUCAAUCAAAUCCCAAAAAGUAAAAGAAAAAUGAACAUCAAUAUCAAAAGUUAUUCCCUGUUGCAAUCCUUGUCCUGUCUCCACAUCCUUACUUCUACUUUCUUAUUGCACUUCACAAAGGUGAAAAGAGAAUGUUCAAAGCUAUAAAUAAUAAAAACAUCCCACCAAAUGAGGCACAUCUUCUCCAAAGCUAUAGCAGCUCAUGCAGACAAGACGACAGAGCAUCACCUAUCCUUUUAUUCCUCUUUAAAAACCAUUCCAAAAACUAUCUUCCAUUCUUAUUUGUAUUUUCUUUCCUACCCUCUUAUCCUGGAGGGGUCCCUUGGCCUCUUCUCCAAUACACCAACCCAGAUUUCUUAGGUUAGCCACACAACCUUGCCUUCUUGGACUUAGCAACUCAGCUGCCGAUUCCACUUUUCCUUUUACAUCAUCCAGAAUCUAUAGAGGGCUCAUUAUUAAUGCAUUACAUAUAUACAUCCUAUAUAUAGCAAUACAGAAAUCCAGGGACUCACCAGAGUGCACUCCUAUCACUCGUAACAGAUAACCAGUUCUCCAUCAAUGGGUAGGCAAAACUGUGAUCCCACCAUCAUGCAUUCCUCCAUUGCCCUUCUGCAGGAGAGGUUUAGACAGCUAGAGAAAGCAAAGGAGAUGAGGCAGCAGAGGCAACUCUUAAGACUUCUCUCUGAAGCAGAGCAAGUCAAAUCAGCCAAAGCAUAUGAGCCAUCCAGGCCUUUUUUUCACUCUGAAUUAACCCAUUCACCUGGGCAACCACUUCAAGGCCCUGUCUACCUCCAGCCUAACACAGAGAACGAGCAUACAAAUCUCCAAAUCAACGAGACUGCAAACUGGGCAAAUUUACGGUCCAAAAAUACUGUCACGCACAUUGCAAAUAACUUUGAUGAAUCAGACGUUGAUACCUCACUUCAUCUGUGAAAAAAUUUACAAUGUUAGUAUCUCCUGUAUUCUUGUUCCAUUGUUCUGUUUCCCAAGUCCUUUUACUGCUUUUAUGGAGCUGUUAGAGAGAGAGAGAGAGAGA